CGGUGGGUAGGGUCGGGGGGCCAGCCGUCCCCUAAACCUGAAACCGGCUACACGCAGGGACCAGCAACUCACGGGUAAACUCGGUUCGGCCCGUGUAUCUGACGAGCACCGGAAGCUGAACCUGCGCCUCUGUGGGCCGUCACAAGAAGGAAGGCGUCCCUCGAAGGAAGGACUUCCCCUUCGAGCCGGCGAACCGAGUCAGGCCCGGGAGGGAGCAGCUCUAAGCCGGUGUGGCGGCGCUGCCGAGUCCACGUGGGGGAUUCGCGGGCUCGCCGGCGCAUGGACAGGCCGGGGAAAACCGCGGGAGCCACCG
Molecule: signal recognition particle RNA, 313 nt
Filed under: Nitrososphaeria archaeon
Lineage: Archaea; Thermoproteati; Nitrososphaerota; Nitrososphaeria
Description: signal recognition particle sRNA
Rfam family: Archaeal signal recognition particle RNA
Source: RNAcentral